UUACAUUGCUCAAUUCCAUGGUCUACUCUAUGUAUUGCUUUCUGAUUAAUCUGCUUGCAAUGUUUCUACAAUUUAGAAAUAACUUUUCUAUUGCACAGAUAGAUACAUACUAUAUUAUAUCAGGUUGGUUUGUAUCUUGAUCAUAUUGUCACCUAUGAAUCUAUCUCAAUCCGUCCCACAGGACUGUCAAGGACCCCCCCCCCCCCCCCCCCCCCCCCCCCGCGGACAGCAGCCGAACUUCGGUUAGUCAAGUGUGCCGCUGCAGUUCUGCUCCCAAAUCAGUAUCGACACUUUGAUCUUGCACAUGUUCCAUGAUCUACAGCGCUUGGUUUAGCAUUCUAACUUAUCGAAUUCUCCCUGAAUAUUAAGAGAAAGUAUGCUACAAGUUAUUGUGAAAUUGAAAUAUUUCUUUCAGCAUACUAUUUGGCAUUAUGACUUAUUUUUCAUUCCAUGAUUCAUGCUGCCACUGGAGCCGAUCCUUCAGUAAAGGAGCAACUUUCAUCAUUAGCAUAGAAUUUUCAUUUCAAAACUCUGUUUAUAUCAGUGCCAUGCCCUCCCCAUGGCAGCUCCAGAACCCUUCUUUGCUCACAUCAUUGCAAAAUAGCAUUGCAUAUUUUAAUUCUAGAUAAGUGCUCAUAUGGAGAAUAAGACUAAAUGAGAUUAAAACAUGCAGCGAGGGUAGUAAAUCAGAGGUCAUGCAUAUUUCUUCUAAAUUCAUAUGUCAAGUAAAUCAUCCAAAGAAUUUUGAUCUUUCAGCUGGGUAGUCAAGUAAAUCAUCCAAAGCGCUCUAAUCUUUCAGCAGGGUAAGGCCUUCUAAAGGUGUAUAGUUUCUGAAUUUAUAUACCAUCUGCAACUAAAAUCAAAAGACCAAAAAACUAACCUUUGCCCUGAAUUGAACCUAUUGCUGAAUGGCUGAAUUUGUUAUUUUUACAUAUAUGUGUGCACUCAGCUUACACUAAACUGUCAAGUGCUGAUUUAUGUUUCUCUUGAGCUCCCAUGUAUAUGCAGAAAAAUCAUGGCAACAAGACCUCGAAGAAUAAGGAACUUGAACCUCCCGCAAGUAGAGGACGUAGAACCUGCUAAGGAUGAGCAUGACAAUUCAGUGGAGAAUGAUAACAAUGAAAAUGUACAGGGUCCUCCUGAUAUUGAUGGUUUAUUGGCUCGCAUGCCACGCUACCAUCCUCGAAGUCCAAUUAAGAUAAUAUGGCCAAAUGGAGAGGUGCGGCAAGUUUUAGGUGAUUUCACAAUUUCAAAUCUAUUGCAAUUAGAAGGAGGAAAGGUAAUUGUAGGGACUGAUGAAAAUGGAGUCCCAAAUGAAAGGUCAGCCUCCAUCCUAGGUCAGCACCUUGGACAAAUAGCAGAAAAGCCAUCAUUAGCUCCUUUACACAUUCAAAGAUGGGACAAUGCUCUGUUCAAGACACACAAGGAACAAAUGAUCAAGGAUGUUGAGGAAAAGUUUGAGUUCCCUCGAUCAACUAUACAGCUCACAAGGGAUUGGAUCCUAAUGACAGUUAACAAUAGAUGGAGAGCCUACAAAUCUAAGUUGAAGAAACAAUAUUUCAAUCCUGAAGAGAGAUCUCUAGAUGAAAUCAUAAAAGGGAAACCACCAACUGUGAAUGAACAUCAAUGGAGAGCUCUUGUUGGAUUUUGGUGCCAGGAAGCACAUAAGAAAUUAUGUGCCACAAACUCCCGAUGAGCAAAAGAACAGAAGAAUACCCACACAACAGGGCAAAAAAGCCAUGCUAGGCUGAAAAAAGAGAUGGAAGAUAACAAUAAAAGAAAGAUUCAUAGGCUAGAAUUGUGGGAGGCUGCUCAUAAAAAAAAGAAUGGUAGAUACACUACUGACACAGUAGAGACAUUAAUGGAAGCAUCUUUUGAGGAAUUACCAAAAAGGCAAGAGAACAACAAUGGUAAUCUUUCAGCUCAAGAUUUUGAUGAGGUAUUCAAUGAGAUAGUUGCUAAGGACUUAAAAGCACGUGGGUACUAUGAUGACAAGUAUUGGAGUCAAAUGCGAGUUUCUCGAGGUGUAACCUUUGUUACUCCAUCUGAGGAAGAAACAAGGUACCAAGAGAAAGUAAAUGCAAUGGAGAAUAAGAUGCACCGCAUGACUGGUCUGAUGAAGCACUGGCUUGCUUUCAUGUCAAAAAAGUUUCCAGAAGAGGAUUUCAUAAAUGAAAUGGAAGGAGCCCUACAGGAUGAUGAAGAUGGUCUUAUGGAAAGAGAAUGUGAUACUGAAAGAAAUUCUGAACACUCAAGUGGUAAUGACUACUCUCCAUCAAUUGAUGUGCAGGAGGGUCAUGCAGAUAAGGGUGAUCCAGCCACUAACUUGUGAUCUAAUACUGUACAGACCAACAUGAGAUCUCGAAGAGUUAAAGCCCCCAGUUCAAACCAAUCUGAAUCGUGCGAAACGGAAGUCUAUCUUAUUUCACUGAGAAACAAAGGGAGAGUGGCGGCGAAAGGAAUGUUAAAGACUACUGAUAGCAAACGAGUUAUUGGUGGAAGCAUGCUUGGAACCGAAUUUGUUGGUGUUUAUGUUGAUGGAAUUGAAAAUAAGGGAGAUGAGCAGUUACCUCGGCCACUCUAUAGUAUUCAUACACUAAUAGAUGCUAUUGGCUUUAUCAUUUCUUGGGCCAAAUCACAUGU
This is an RNA transcript of Panicum virgatum (switchgrass), 2643 nucleotides long. RefSeq lists it as uncharacterized. The transcript is spliced from 10 exons. The record is from RefSeq and is a predicted model, not a curated record. Lineage: Eukaryota; Viridiplantae; Streptophyta; Magnoliopsida; Poales; Poaceae.